CCUACGGGUGGCAGCAGUGAGGAAUAUUGGUCAAUGGGCGAGAGCCUGAACCAGCCAAGUCGCGUGAAGGAUGACGGCCCUACGGGUUGUAAACUUCUUUUGUCAGGGAGCAAUUGAGUCCACGUGUGGUCUUAGCGAGAGUACCUGAAGAAAAAGCAUCGGCUAACUCCGUGCCAGCAGCCGCGGUAAUACGGAGGAUCCGAGCGUUAUCCGGAUUUAUUGGGUUUAAAGGGAGCGUAGGAGGAUUGUUAAGUCAGUUGUGAAAGUUUGCGGCUCAACCGUAAAAUUGCAGUUGAAACUGGCAGUCUUGAGUACAGUAGAGGUGGGCGGAAUUCGUGGUGUAGCGGUGAAAUGCUUAGAUAUCACGAAGAACUCCGAUUGCGAAGGCAGUUCACUGGACUGCAACUGACACUGAGGCUCGAAAGUGUGGGUAUCAAACAGGAUUAGAUACCCGAGUAGUC
This 461-nucleotide ribosomal RNA is filed under the name uncultured bacterium. Its description in RNAcentral is "partial 16S ribosomal RNA". It matches the Rfam family "Bacterial small subunit ribosomal RNA", at positions 338 to 795 of the family's 1533-position model. The record is from RNAcentral.